GAAAUUGACCUGAACAGGUUUUUCACAGACAUGGAAACAAAUACAUGCUUGAAAAGUUGCUCAACCCCAUUAGCAAUCAUGGACACGAAGAUUAGAAUCACAGUGAACUCCAUUUCACACCUACUAGGUUAGAAGUCCAGAUUGCGUUUAGUGUUUGUGAGGAUGACUCCAAAAUUCUAAAGAAGCCCUCUCGGAUUGUCUUCCAGGAGUUUAAAGUUUUGCUUUUUAAAUUAAAGUCUUUAAUCUGGGGAAGGAGGGAGUCAUUAAAUUCCAUAUUUUUCUCUAUGAUAAUCAAUUGUACUAGCACCUUUUGCCAAAUUGUCCCUUCUUUCCCCAAUGAUCAGAAAUGUCACCUUGCUAGUGUGAUUCCGUCCUGUGCGGCUGUUCUUUUGAGCAGUGGUCAUUUAUCUCUGCCCGCCUUCUCUCCCAUCUAAGUGCGUGCUGCCACCGGAUGGAACAUUCAAUGGACUCAAAACCAUCAUCAACACCAAGAUCAAAAGGGCAAGAAUCCUUCAAAAAACAGGAAAAAACUCCUAAAACACCAAAAGGACCUAGUUCUGUAGAAGAUAUUAAAGCAAAAAUGCAAGCCAGUAUAGAAAAAGGUGGUUCUCUUCCCAAAGUGGAAGCCAAGUUCAUCAAUUAUGUGAAGAAUUUCUUCCGGAUCACUGACUAGGAGGCUGUUCAAGAUCUCUGGCAGUGGAGGAAGUCUUUUUAAGAAAAUAGUUUAAACAAUUUGUUGAGGUUUCCAAGAUGCUGCCCAAAGGAAAAAGUGGUUCUGGAAAAGCAGGGAAAGGGGGAGCAGCCUCUGGGAGUGACAGUGCUGACAAGAAGGCUCAAGGUCCCAAAGGUGGUGGCAAUGCAGUAAAGGUCAGACACAUUCUAUGUGAAAAACAUGGCAAAAUCAUGGAAGCUAUGGAAAAGUUAAAGUCUGGGAUGAGAUUCAAUGAAGUGGCUGCACAAUAUAGUGAAGAUAAAGCCAGGCAAGGGGGCGACUUGGGUUGGAUGACCAGAGGGUCCAUGGUAGGACCAUUUCAAGAAGCAGCAUUUGCCUUGCCUGUAAGUGGGAUGGAUAAGCCUGUGUUUACAGACCCACCAGUUAAGACAAAAAUUGGAUAUCAUAUUAUUAUGGUUGAAGGAAGAAAAUAAAAUCAUAUGAAAGACUGAAAAAAAAAACAAUUUGUUAAAAAUUUUCUGUCUUAUUUCAUUUCUGUAAGUUGAUAUCUGGCUGUCCUUUUUACAAUGCGGAGUGAGAAUUUUCCCUACCGUGUUUGAUAAAUGUUGUCCAGGUUCCAUUGCCAAGAAUGUGUUGUCCAAAAUGCCUGUAGUUUUUAAAGAUGGAACUCCACCCUUUGCUUGGUUUUAGGUGUGUGUGGAAUGUUAUGAUGGGACAUAGUAGUGGUGGUGGUCAGACAUGGAAAUGGUGGGGAGACA
RNA transcript from Sapajus apella (tufted capuchin), 1431 nucleotides. It is a transcript of the gene named peptidyl-prolyl cis-trans isomerase NIMA-interacting 4 pseudogene, with no coding region annotated. The record is from RefSeq and is a predicted model, not a curated record. The transcript has a single exon. NCBI's taxonomy places the organism in Eukaryota, Metazoa, Chordata, Mammalia, Primates, Cebidae.